UUCUGAUACUGCUCCUGUACUGGUGGUUGUGUUUGUGUAUGGAGGUGCCUGGGGAUCAGGAGACCGCUCCAUUUACUGUCUGUUAGCCUUACAAAUAGCAAAAGAGCUUAAUGCCUCUGUACUUUGUCCAGAUUAUUCCAUAUAUCCAAAGGUAAGCCACCAUUAUAUUAUACAUUAUAUAUUUAAUAUUGAUAUUUUUUGUGUGGAUUUCUUUUUUCUUUUUUCAAAUUGUUUGUUGUGUUUUUAGGGAAAUGUUUUAAAUAUGGUUCAAGACAUCAGUGACAGUUUGCUGUGGGUGAGAGAAAAGGGACAAACAUUCAAUCUUGAUCAAGACAACAUAAUAUUAAUAGGUCAUUCAGCAGGGGCUCAUCUGUGUGCCCUUUCCACACUGUUUCUGGUGAACAGUGCAGAAGAGCUGUUCAUUGAGACCAACAUACAGAGAGAUCUUGUAUCUGCCAUUAAAGGAAUCAUAGGUUUCAUUAUAAGCAUGAGAAAAUGCGGGCCGUUGAGUAUGUAUCAACUAUGCACAAAGCUAUGGAUGGUGUGGAGAACUUUGAUUAUUAUUCACCAACAUCAUUACUCAAGAAAUUGAAUGAGGAUCAGUUGAAACGAGUUCCUCCAGUGGCUUUGCUCCAUGGAACCAGUGACAUGAUAGUUCCGGUGGAAUCAUCAGUGAAGUUCUCUGAGCUCCUCACAGCCCUUUCUAUCAGGAUGUCUCUCGAUCUAAUACCUAAAAUGAACCACACAGAGAUGGUCACUGACCUUAUGGCUCCAGACAGGCACUUUUACCAUACAGUUUAUGGCUGUAUUAAACAGGAGUACAGUAAAUUUCAAGGUUAUGCUGAUUAAUAAUUUUCAUUCAAUUAUUUUCUAAUAUCAUUUUCCAUUAUGCCAGUCACUCAUUAUAUGUUAUCUAUGUAUUUACUGUAAGUUUACAUUCACGUUCUAAUGAUUUCUUCUGAAAUGUUUAAUUUUCAAUCUAAAAUGUGUUCAAUAAGCCGUUAUAUAAGAUGGAAAGAUGAAAGAAAACAACCUCUGUGCUUGUUAUCUGUUAAUAAACUCUGUUAAUG
This 1070-nucleotide long non-coding RNA is filed under the name Sinocyclocheilus grahami. RNAcentral describes it as "lncRNA (ENSSGRG00000041035.1)". The record is from RNAcentral. Lineage: Eukaryota; Metazoa; Chordata; Actinopteri; Cypriniformes; Cyprinidae.